Molecule: long non-coding RNA, 550 nt
Organism: Hemicordylus capensis (graceful crag lizard)
Lineage: Eukaryota; Metazoa; Chordata; Lepidosauria; Squamata; Cordylidae
Exons: 3
Source: RefSeq, a predicted model, not a curated record
UGGCAUCUAUACAAAGAAAACAAGUCACCAUGAAAAGAAUUCCUCCUUUUGGCAGAGAAAGAUGAUCAGGAAGAACAGUCAAUGGAUCACGACAUAGCAAUCAUCAGAUCUAGUCCCCAGAAGAAACCUUCUUGGUGAGAAGACAAAAUUUACUGACAACCAGUAUCUUACAGUGAGAUGUUGUUCACACGGUACUGGAUUUAAGCAGGAUCUUCACCACACCCAGUCCACUCCCAAUACAUCUAGUAUGAGAACAGAAAUGGUAUGAUGACUAGAUGGGAAGCAAGCUUGGGGCUUCUGGAUCUCUGCUGUGCAGAAUAUGGGAGAAAAGCUACACUGUGGAAAUUCUACUCACGACUGGCCCAGGAGCUUUGACCUUCCUUGCAUUUGGCCAUGUUGGCCUCUCCUACAAAAUGGAAAGUCUUUCCAGCUUUCAGCCGACUUUCCCCCUUCUCUCUGCAGUCUAGUGACAAUAUUGCUGACCUGCCUUAUAUGGUUCUUUCAAGGACUGCUAGAAUAACAUCUCAUUACAUAAAAUAACAUUUGUGCA